GACGAACGCUGGCGGCGUGCCUAAUACAUGCAAGUCGAGCGAAGUUUUUCUGGUGCUUGCACCGGAAAAACUUAGCGGCGAACGGGUGAGUAACACGUAAAGAACCUGCCUCAUAGACUGGGACAACUAUUGGAAACGAUAGCUAAUACCGGAUAAUAGCAUUAACUGCAUGGUUGAUGUUUAAAAGUUGGUUUUGCUAACACUAUGAGAUGGCUUUGCGGUGCAUUAGCUAGUUGGUGGGGUAAAGGCCUACCAAGGCGACGAUGCAUAGCCGACCUGAGAGGGUGAUCGGCCACACUGGGACUGAGAUACGGCCCAGACUCCUACGGGAGGCAGCAGUAGGGAAUCUUCCGCAAUGGGCGAAAGCCUGACGGAGCAACGCCGCGUGAGUGAAGAAGGAUUUCGGUUCGUAAAGCUCUGUUGUUAGGGAAGAAUGAUUGUGUAGUAACUAUACACAGUAGAGACGGUACCUAACCAGAAAGCCACGGCUAACUACGUG
Molecule: ribosomal RNA, 499 nt
Filed under: uncultured bacterium
Lineage: Bacteria
Description: partial 16S ribosomal RNA
Rfam family: Bacterial small subunit ribosomal RNA
Source: RNAcentral